RNAcentral lists this ribosomal RNA (493 nucleotides) under uncultured bacterium. RNAcentral describes it as "partial 16S ribosomal RNA". It matches the Rfam family "Bacterial small subunit ribosomal RNA", at positions 30 to 523 of the family's 1533-position model. The record is from RNAcentral.
AUUGAACGCUGGCGGCAUGCCUUACACAUGCAAGUCGAACGGUAACAGGUUAAGCUGACGAGUGGCGAACGGGUGAGUAAUAUAUCGGAACGUGCCCAGUCGUGGGGGAUAACGUAGCGAAAGCUACGCUAAUACCGCAUACGAUCUGCGGAUGAAAGCGGGGGAUCGCAAGACCUCGCGCGAUUGGAGCGGCCGAUAUCAGAUUAGGUUGUUGGUGAGGUAAAAGCUCACCAAGCCUGCGAUCUGUAGCUGGUCUGAGAGGACGACCAGCCACACUGGAACUGAGACGCGGCCCAGACUCCUACGGGAGGCAGCAGUGGGGAAUUUUGGACAAUGGACGCAAGUCUGAUCCAGCAAUGCCGCGUGCAGGACGAAGGCCUUCGGGUUGUAAACUGCUUUUGUACGGAACGAAACGGUGAGCUCUAAUACAGUUUGCUAAUGACGGUACCGUAAGAAUAAGCACCGGCUAACUACGUGCCAGCCGCCGCAGUAA